RNAcentral lists this ribosomal RNA (450 nucleotides) under uncultured bacterium. Its description in RNAcentral is "partial 16S ribosomal RNA". It matches the Rfam family "Bacterial small subunit ribosomal RNA", at positions 354 to 796 of the family's 1533-position model. The record is from RNAcentral.
GUGGGGAAUAUUGGACAAUGGGCGAAAGCCUGAUCCAGCCAUGCCGCGUGUGUGAAGAAGGUCUUCGGAUUGUAAAGCACUUUAAGUUGGGAGGAAGGGCAGUAAGUUAAUACCUUGCUGUUUUGACGUUACCGACAGAAUAAGCACCGGCUAACUUCGUGCCAGCAGCCGCGGUAAUACGAAGGGUGCAAGCGUUAAUCGGAAUUACUGGGCGUAAAGCGCGCGUAGGUGGUUUUGUAAGUUGGAGGUGAAAUCCCCGGGCUCAACCUGGGAACUGCUUUCAAAACUGCUGAGCUAGAGUACGGUAGAGGGUGGUGGAAUUUCCUGUGUAGCGGUGAAAUGCGUAGAUAUAGGAAGGAACACCAGUGGCGAAGGCGACCACCUGGACUGAUACUGACACUGAGGUGCGAAAGCGUGGGGAGCAAACAGGAUUAGAUACCCCUGUAGUCC